GAUGAACGCUGGCGGCGUGCCUAAUACAUGCAAGUCGAGCGAACGGACGAGAAGCUUGCUUCUCUGAUGUUAGCGGCGGACGGGUGAGUAACACGUGGAUAACCUACCUAUAAGACUGGGAUAACUUCGGGAAACCGUAGCUAAUACCGGAUAAUAUUUUGAACCGCAUGGUUCAAAAGUGAAAGACGGUCUUGCUGUCACUUAUAGAUGGAUCCGCGCUGCAUUAGCUAGUUGGUAAGGUAACGGCUUACCAAGGCAACGAUGCAUAGCCGACCUGAGAGGGUGAUCGGCCACACUGGAACUGAGACACGGUCCAGACUCCUACGGGAGGCAUCAGUAGGGAAUCUUCCGCAAUGGGCGAAAGCCUGACGGAGCAACGCCGCGUGAGUGAUGAAGGUCUUCGGAUCGUAAAACUCUGUUAUUAGGGAAGAACAUAUGUGUAAGUAACUGUGCACAUCUUGACGGUACCUAAUCAGAAAGCCACGGCUAACUACGUG
Molecule: ribosomal RNA, 497 nt
Filed under: uncultured bacterium
Lineage: Bacteria
Description: partial 16S ribosomal RNA
Rfam family: Bacterial small subunit ribosomal RNA
Source: RNAcentral